AGAGUUUGAUCCUGGCUCAGGAUGAACGCUAGCGGCAGGCCUAAUACAUGCAAGUCGAACGGUAAAUAUGAUAGCAAUAUUGUAUGAGAGUGACGUACGGGUGCGUAACACGUAUGCAACCUACCCUUUACAGAUGGAUGGCUCGGGGAAACUCGAAUUAACCCGUCAUAAUAUAAUUUAGUGGCAUCAUUGAAUCAUUAAAACUCCGGUGGUAAAGGAUGGGCAUGCGUCUGAUUAGUUAGUUGGUGGGGUAACGGCCUACCAAGGCUCCGAUCCGUAGCUGGUCUGAGAGGACGAUCAGCCACACUGGGACUGAGACACGGCCCAGACUCCUACGGGAGGCAGCAGUGGGGAAUCCUGCACAAUGGGCGAAAGCCUGAUGCAGCGACGCCGCGUGAGGGAGGAAGGCCUUCGGGUUGUAAACCUCUUUCAGGAGGGACGAAGCUACUCGGGUUAACAGCCCAGAGGGUGACGGUACCUCCAGAAGAAGCCCCGGCUAACUACGUGCCAGCAGCGGCGGUAAUUC
RNAcentral lists this ribosomal RNA (526 nucleotides) under uncultured bacterium. Its description in RNAcentral is "bacterial SSU rRNA". It matches the Rfam family "Bacterial small subunit ribosomal RNA", at positions 8 to 526 of the family's 1533-position model. The record is from RNAcentral.